AAGAGAGGCUCGAAGCACUGGUGACUGCUAAUCCUCCAGCCCCACGGUUAAACUCCGUGGCUCACUUG
RNAcentral lists this transfer RNA (68 nucleotides) under Galaxiella nigrostriata (black-stripe minnow). RNAcentral describes it as "tRNA-Ser(AGY)". The record is from RNAcentral. Lineage: Eukaryota; Metazoa; Chordata; Actinopteri; Galaxiiformes; Galaxiidae.